RNAcentral lists this ribosomal RNA (520 nucleotides) under uncultured Glomus. RNAcentral describes it as "SSU rRNA". It matches the Rfam family "Eukaryotic small subunit ribosomal RNA", at positions 569 to 1091 of the family's 1831-position model. The record is from RNAcentral. Lineage: Eukaryota; Fungi; Glomeromycota; Glomeromycetes; Glomerales; Glomeraceae.
AGCAACCGCGGUAAUUCCAGCUCCAAUAGCGUAUAUUAAAGUUGUUGCAGUUAAAAAGCUCGUAGUUGAAUUUCGGGAUCAAUUUGCUGGUCGUGCCUUCGGUACGCACUGGUAUUAUUGGUUUCUCCUUUCUGAUGAAUCGCGAUGUCAUUAAUUUGGUGUCGUGGGGAAUCAGGACCGUUACUUUGAAAAAAUUAGAGUGUUUAAAGCAGGCUCACGCUUGAAUACAUUAGCAUGGAAUAAUGAAAUAGGACGUUUGAUUCUAUUUUGUUGGUUUCUAGGAUCGACGUAAUGAUUAAUAGGGAUAGUUGGGGGCAUUAGUAUUCAAUUUUCAGAGGUGAAAUUCUUGGAUUUAUUGAAGACUAACUACUGCGAAAGCAUUUGCCAAGGAUGUUUUCAUUAAUCAAGAACGAAAGUUAGGGGAUCGAAGACGAUCAGAUACCGUCGUAGUCUUAACCAUAAACUAUGCCGACUAGGGAUCGGAUGAUGUUAAUUUUUAAUGACUCAUUCGGCGCCUUAC